AAGAAAAAACGUGAUUUGCUACCAUUAAUUUGCUACAAAUAGUGUUUCUAGUUAAAUUCAAGUAUAUUAACAACCAUUUGACUGAAAUUAAUCUUAUAUUACUUUUUUAACAAAUCACAGUAUUAUUAUUAUUUUAUUUAUUUUUUACUAUUCUUUUUUAUUGCUACUAUUAAUUUGUUGACUGUCAAUAAAACAAAAUCUCAUAACACGUAUCGUGAAACCCCUCUCUCCUUCGAUCUUGCUCCGCCGCGAUCUUGCUCCGAUCUAACUCUCCCUCUGAUUUUGCUCCGAUCUCACUUUCCGUCCGAUCUUGCUCUUGAUCCUCGAACACAUAUCACUCCAACAUAGACUCGAUCCUCUCGCGAUUGUUAUUCUUAGUUGAAAUUUGAUGUUGUGCUCGUUUCAGAUUACUUCUGCCUCUUAGGAUGGAGUAGUGGAUUCCAAGGUAGCAUCUACACUUCGACCCUGUACUAAAGGUCUUUGGUUGUGGAGCUCACUUAUUAAGAGGACUGCUCUUGAUGGAAUAUUGUACAGUCUUCUGCUAUUAGACAUUGAAGGGGACAAACAACACCCAGAUAUUUUAGGUAUUAAUAAUACUAAAUUAAUUGCUCAAAAAUCAAAAUGAAUGCCUCUAAUCACAAAUCACCAUUCCUCUGACCAAACUUGACCUCAGUGGUCAAGUCCAUGAAUGGACUAUCCAGAUGCCGGCUGAACUUGCACGAAUGAAUGAAGACUUGGAACUCUUCAAUAAUGACACAAAUCCACAUUAUUUCUUUAUGAAGAAAGAAGUCAUUAAAUCAAGAAACAAGGAUCUCGUUCAACUUUUUGAAUUUGGUGGUGUGAGACACUGUGACUUAUGUGAAAGUGUGAAGUCCACAAUAUCACACAGCAUUAGAUUAACAGCAUUGGUGGAAAUAAAGUGUGUUUUACAUCAUUUGCAUCAUAUCACAUUGAAGCUGUUUUACUACUCACUUUGAAAUGGAAUUUUGCUAAUUGUGAUCUUGAAUUGCUAUUAGUGAAACAUCCUGAGGUUGCAGAAUUUCUUGGUUCGCGGAUGUAUGAUUGUUUAAUCAAAUACAAUGAAGUUUAGAGCUUAUAGUUGAGACUGAUUCUUUUAACAAGGAGGAAUUUUCAUUCAAGAGUUGGAUAAUAUGAGCCGAUGCUUAUGGAAGUUCAUUUGCACCGUGUGAUGUAAGAAACAAACAGGAAGCUGCUAACUUUGGGACUCCACAAUGGCUUUGGCAUAGCUAAAGAAACUGUAGUGCAUAGAGCUACAAUGAAUCAUCUUCAUAUGCUUUCCCAUCAGCAACUACUUUACUAGCUACCAUGUCUUUUAUUUCAAGGUUUUUAUUUAUGCAUAUGCAUAUUGAGAUUGCACUAUGAAGGUACUUUGCCAUAUAAUCUGUUUUUUAAUUGUAUUUUUACUUGUAGGUUUUUAUUUAUACAUGCAUAUUGCAUUUUGUAGUGAAAUUGAACUUGUUAGCUGCUACAGUACAUCAGAGUUAGAUAAGUAGUGGUUUCUUGAGUUACUGAUCCUGUUGCCGAAAUUCUAAAAUUCUAAGUUCCUAGGUUUCUAUAAUAUUAAUAUUAUAAAGGAAAUAAAUUGUGUUUUGCAUCAUUUGCAUCAUAUCUGCUUGAAUAGUUAAUUACAAUUUAGCCUAAUCAGUUUUGAUUAGAAAGCCAUUUUAUAAUUAUAAAAAAAAUCUAAAUGGCUUGGAUAUAGCUGCGAAAUCGCUAGGAUAUAGC
Trifolium pratense (red clover) is the source of this 1746-nucleotide long non-coding RNA. RefSeq lists it as uncharacterized. The transcript is spliced from 9 exons. The record is from RefSeq and is a predicted model, not a curated record. Lineage: Eukaryota; Viridiplantae; Streptophyta; Magnoliopsida; Fabales; Fabaceae.